This 332-nucleotide ribosomal RNA is filed under the name uncultured bacterium. Its description in RNAcentral is "bacterial SSU rRNA". It matches the Rfam family "Bacterial small subunit ribosomal RNA", at positions 568 to 898 of the family's 1533-position model. The record is from RNAcentral.
GGUGUAGGUGGUUUUUCAAGUCAGAUGUGAAAUUUCCCGGCUCAACUGGGAAGGGUCAUUUGAUACUGUUAGACUGGAGGGCAGCAGAGGGAGAUGGAAUUCCCGGUGUAGUGGUGAAAUGCGUAGAUAUCGGGAGGAACACCAGUGGCGAAAGCGGUCUCCUGGGCUGUUCCUGACACUGAGGCCCAAAAGCGUGGGGAGCAAACAGGAUUAGAUACCCUGGUAGUCCACGCCUUAAACGAUGGAUACUAGGUAUGGGGGGUAUCGACCCCCUCCGUGCCAAAGUUAACACCUUAAGUAUCCCGCCUGGGGAGUACGGUCGCAAGACUAAA